CAGUCGCCGCGGGAAUACGUAGGGUGCAAGCGUUAAUCGGAAUUACUGGGCGUAAAGCGUGCGCAGGCGGUUUUGUAAGACAGAGGUGAAAUCCCCGGGCUCAACCUGGGAACUGCAUUUGAGGCUGUAUGGCUAGAGUGUGUCAGAGGGGGGUAGAAUUCCACGUGUAGCAGUGAAAUGCGUAGAUAUGUGGAGGAAUACCGAUGGCGAAGGCAGCCCCCUGGGAUAACACUGACGCUCAUGCACGAAAGCGUGGGGAGCAAACAGGACUAGAUACCCCAGUAGUCCCUGUCUCUUAUAC
Molecule: ribosomal RNA, 301 nt
Filed under: uncultured bacterium
Lineage: Bacteria
Description: partial 16S ribosomal RNA
Rfam family: Bacterial small subunit ribosomal RNA
Source: RNAcentral